Molecule: long non-coding RNA, 3211 nt
Filed under: Theobroma cacao (cacao)
Lineage: Eukaryota; Viridiplantae; Streptophyta; Magnoliopsida; Malvales; Malvaceae
Description: long non-coding RNA (TCAC_LNC000753)
Source: RNAcentral
GAAGUUUAUCAUGUCAAUUAUCAACACAUUUCUUUUGCUUCAAGCACCUACGCUGUUUAAAUUAAAAUUUUUAUUGUCUUUCCAGCAUUUUGCAUUUGUAUAUAAUAAGAAGCUCAACUUCUAAAUUGUUUGCCAAUCAAUUUACCUCUGUUUCUUCCACUGCUAUUCUUCCUACACUUCUUUCAUUUAACCUCUUCUAGUCCUAAUCACAAGGCUAGAUGGCCUCAAAAUCACGUCAGCUUCAUAUCGUAUUCUUGCCACAACUUGCCCAUGGUAUCUUGAUCCCGACAGUGGACAUGGCCAGACUAUGUGCUAGGCAUGGAGUAAAGGUGACAAUUGCUACCACUCCACUCAAUGCUCAUCUCUUUGCUAAAACAAUUCAAAGAGAUAGGGAAUCAGGCUUUGAAAUCAGUACUUACAUAAUCAAAUUUCCUUCAGCUGAGGUUGGGCUACCUGAAGGAUGCGAGAAUGCGAGUUCCCUCACUUCACAAGAAAUGCAAACCAAGUUCCUCAAGGCUGCUAACCUUUUCCAACAACCACUUGAACAGCUCCUUGCAGAACUCCGCCCCGAUUGCCUUGUGGCUGGCAUGAUGUUUACAUGGGCUACAGAUGUUGCUAGCAAGUUCGGAAUUCCAAGGCUGGUUUUUCAUGGGACAAGCUGCUUCUCCAUUUCUAUCGUUGAUAGCGUAAUACGCCAUGCACCCUACAAAAAGAUAGCAACUGAUUUUGAAUUCUUUGAUGUGCCCGGCCUUCCGGACCAGAUAAAGAUGACAAAGAUGCAGCUUCCAGAUUUUAUGAAAGAAGAAGGGGGGAGUGAGCGGAGAAAGAUGAUGAAUGAAGCUUUAGAAUCAGAGCGGAUAAGCUUUGGAGUCAUCGUGAAUAGUUUCUACGAGCUGGAACCAGCAUACAGAGAACACUACUCCAAAGUUAUGGGAAAGAAGGCAUGGCAAGUUGGUCCUGUCUCACUCUGCAAUAAGGACAGCGAAGAUAAAGCUGAGCGGGGAAACGUAGCCUCGAUUGAUAGACAUGAGUGUUUAAGAUGGUUAGCCUCAAAGAAGCCUAACUCAGUUCUCUAUAUAUGUUUCGGAAGCUUGUCCAGGUUUUCAGCUGCUCAGCUAAAUGAGAUGGCUAAGGGUCUUGAAGCUUCUGGACAGAAUUUCAUUUGGGUUGUGAGAAAGGUAAAUGAUGAAGACAAAGAAGAGUGGUUGCCAGAAGGAUUUGAAGAGAGGAUGGAAGGGAAGGGUUUGAUAAUAAGGGGAUGGGCACCCCAAGUUCUAAUUCUUGAUCAUGAAGCUGUAGGAGGGUUCAUGACUCACUGUGGCUGGAACUCAACACUCGAGAGUAUCACUGCCGGGGUGCCAAUGGUGACUUGGCCUCUCCACGCUGAGCAAUUUUUUAAUGAAAAGCUUAUUGUAGAUGUUCUAAAAAUAGGAGUCUGUACCGGAGCCAAGGAAUGGUCUAGAUGGGCAGAUGAUACAAAGAUUAUAGUGACCAGCGAAGACAUACAAAAGGCAGUGACUCAGUUAAUGGUUGGCGAAGAAGGUGAGAAAAUGAGAAACCGAACUAGGGAAUUGAAAGAUAUGGCGAGGAGGGCUGUGGAAGAAGGGGGAUCAUCCUACUCUGAUUUGAAUGCUUUAUUAGAUGAAUUGAGAUUGAACUGCCUUCCAAAAUAGCUAUCAAAUGCUGCUACGCCACUUCGUAAAAAAUUGUACUACUAUAGAAAAGAAAGUAAUAAAACUUAGUUAGCAUUCAUUGCUGUUUGGCUGGAGGUCCAUUAUUUGAACUAUGAAUUGAAAUUUUUUUCCUUUCAAAGUGUGCAAGUCUGCAUACCCUUUGUAUCACAGACCAAGGAAAUCCAUGACGUCAGAAUCAGAUUAAUUUUUGGACAUUUGAAAUCAGGCGUCCAUAGCAACGUAUUGAAGCUGGUUUAGACUCACAACCAAAAAUUUGUUUCCAUCUGGACUUAAAACCCAAAUAGAAUAGUGUCUGAAAGACAGUCCCCCAAUGGCAACUUCCUUUCUGCUAUAUCAAUUUUUCACUUAUUUAUCUCCUUUCAAGCAGCUAAUAGUAAUACCUUCGAAAGUGAGUGGUAGGAGAAAAGGGAAGCAGUUGGUAUCCCUUGCAAUUUGUAUUGUAUAUGAAAAACUGCAAUUGUAGAAUUUGUCAUAUGACAAAAGCUACCGUACAAUUGUAUGGACAAAUAUGUGAAAGCAAUGGGUUGGCUUCUGUAAGUAAGGAGACGGGUGAUUACUGAUGAUCCACAACCAUUUUUUAAGCCUAUUACCCAGCCGCAGAUUUCUUGUCAAGCUUAUAAGUUAUAUAACUCAGAAAUCCAGUUUUAAUCAUUACACAUGGACCUUUUCUCUGCCUGCUAGAGGCCCAUUGGACCUAUGGUCCUAUUUAGAAGAGUUGCCAGAAUUUCCAUUUCCCUCUGCGCCUAAAUGAUAUUGAUGACUUUGCAGGUUAUUUAUACCCUUCUCUUUUAUUCAUGGAUCAAUGCUGUUUAAAGAAAGAUUACUGCUUUAGUUCCCAUUCAAUUAGAUAGCUUUCCCUAGUUGACUUUAAAUGCAAAUCAGAUAAAAGACAAGGUUACAAUUUUUUCUUAAAGGACUCCUUGCUAACCAAGCAAAACAAAUGAGUCAGUACACUGCAUAUGGACUUGAAGCUGUACUCCUAAUGUUUGCUAGAUCAAAGAUGCCUGACACAAAACAAUUUUUUCCACAUAUACAGACAUAUGAGUCCAAUAAAAUGAUGACAAUUAGCUGUGGUCUCCGCACGUGGUUUGAAUUAACCCUGCUCCGACCUUUCUACAUAUUCAGUUUAGAAAGUAUACUUGCAGUCCAAGCACACAAAUUCAACAUACUUACCAGGAAGUUUACCAUGUCAAUUAUCAACACAUUUCUUUUGCUUCAAGCACGUACGCUGUUUAAAUUCAAAUUUUUAUUGUCUUUCCAGCAUUUUGCAUUUGUAUAUAAUAAGAAGCUCAACUUCUAAAUUGUUUGCCAAUCAAUUUACCUCUGUUUCUUCCACUGCUAUUCUUCCUACACUUCUUUCAUUUAACCUCUUCUAGUCAUAAUCACAAGGCUAGAUGGCCUCAAAAUCACUUCAGCUUCAUAUCGUAUUCUUGCCACAACUUGCCCAUGGUCACUUGAUCCCGACAGUGGACAUGGCCAGACUAUGUGCUAGGCAUGGAGUAAAGGUGACAAUUGCU